This 1314-nucleotide long non-coding RNA is filed under the name Anas platyrhynchos platyrhynchos (common mallard). Its description in RNAcentral is "lncRNA (ENSAPLG00000020391.1)". Lineage: Eukaryota; Metazoa; Chordata; Aves; Anseriformes; Anatidae. The record is from RNAcentral.
AUGCCCGGUUCCCGGUGCCCGGUGCCCGGUGCCCGGUGCCCGGUUCCCGGUGCUCGGUGCCCGGUAACCGGUACCCGGUGCCUGAUGCCCGGUGCCCGGUUCCCGGUGCCCGGUGCCGGUGCGCGGCACGGAGCUGUCCGCCGCGGCGGUGCUGAGCGGGCGCCGUGCCCAGCCGCCUGCCUCGGCCAACCGCCGCCGGUCCCUUCACCGUCCCCGCCACCGGGGCUCAUCCCCCGCCGGCCGCGACCCCGAGACGCGGAGCGGGCUCCCGGGCACACGGCGCCGCUCCCCCCGGCCCCGCCGGCUGCAGGCACCGGGCACCGGCACCGGGAGUGCGGGCACGGAGCCCUCGGGUUCCCUCGGGGAAGCCGCUUCAGGGAGAAAACUCGCGUGGGGGCAGCGUGCGCCGUGCCCCCGCGGCCCCACGGAUUUGGGGGAAAAUCCGGUGUUUUCGGGGCAGCGGGCACGGACGGCCCCGGCCGGGGUUGGAAGCGGCCCGACGGGAAGCGGCUCCGGCCCUGCCCCGACGAACCGGGCCCGGCCGGGGCAGCGGGGCCCCCCCGAGGUGCUCGUGGCCUCCCCGAGCCCCCCCAAAGCCCCGCCGACCCCGGCCCCGGCCCUCGCCGGUGCCCGCGGGGGAGCGGAGCCUCUUCCGACGGCCGCCGCCCGGCCCCGGGACGGGAACGGUUUCUCUGCGGGAAAAGCCCCGGGGCGGGGGGCUCGGAGCCGGGGGGGCUCCGGGCGGCCGGCGACUGCGGCGGGGCCGCCAAGGGGGCGAGGAGCCGGUGUUUGGGGCCGGUACCGGCACCGGGACCCGGAGAUGCGGCGGCGAAAGGCGGGAGCCCACCGGAAAGGGGAUGGGGGGGCAGGCGCCGGGACCCCCAGGGGGGCUGCGGGAGGAAGGGGGGGGACCGGCAUCUGCUCGCCCCCGGGGCUCCCGGGAAGGGCCCGGUGUGCCCGGUCUGCACGGCGGGGCCGGGCUUUAACGCCUCCGUUUGGGGCCGCGUUUUCUUUUUAAUUCCCGUGAUUUUGGCUCCCCAGAGCCCGGGCGGCCCCGCCGAGGCGAGAAGCUGCGGGUGCUGCUCGGGCACGGAGCGGCCCCGCAAUGCGGCCCCGCCGCCGGGCACGGCUCCGAGGGGAGCUCCGGUGCGCGGCCCCGGUGCGCGGCCGAGGUGCGAGGAACCGGUGCCCGGCCCCGGUUCCCCACCCCGGUGCCCGGCCUGCCCGCGCUCGGUGCUCCGCUCCCGUUCCCAUCGGAGGGAGCCGGGAGUUGCCCCCACAGCCCCCGCUGGGAUUUGGCACAAUUUGGUGUGA